UGGGGAAUUUUGGACAAUGGGGGAAACCCUGAUCCAGCCAUCCCGCGUGUGCGAUGAAGGCCUUCGGGUUGUAAAGCACUUUUGGCAGGAAAGAAACGUCAUGGGUUAAUACCCCGUGAAACUGACGGUACCUGCAGAAUAAGCACCGGCUAACUACGUGCCAGCAGCCGCGGUAAUACGUAGGGUGCAAGCGUUAAUCGGAAUUACUGGGCGUAAAGCGUGCGCAGGCGGUUCGGAAAGUAAGAUGUGAAAUCCCAGAGCUCAACUUUGGAACUGCAUUUUUAACUACCGGGCUAGAGUGUGUCAGAGGGAGGUGGAAUUCCGCGUGUAGCAGUGAAAUGCGUAGAUAUGCGGAGGAACACCGAUGGCGAAGGCAGCCUCCUGGGAUAACACUGACGCUCAUGCACGAAAGCGUGGGGAGCAAACAGG
Molecule: ribosomal RNA, 429 nt
Filed under: Acidobacteriota bacterium
Lineage: Bacteria; Pseudomonadati; Acidobacteriota
Description: Acidobacteria bacterium partial 16S ribosomal RNA
Rfam family: Bacterial small subunit ribosomal RNA
Source: RNAcentral